This 485-nucleotide ribosomal RNA is filed under the name uncultured bacterium. RNAcentral describes it as "partial 16S ribosomal RNA". It matches the Rfam family "Bacterial small subunit ribosomal RNA", at positions 899 to 1397 of the family's 1533-position model. The record is from RNAcentral.
ACUCAAAUGAAUUGACGGGGGCCCGCACAAGCGGCGGAGCGUGUGGUUUAAUUCGAUGCAACGCGAAGAACCUUACCAGGGCUUGACAUGCUGGUGGUACGGAUCAGAAACGUGAAGGACCCUUCGGGGAGCCAGCACAGGUGCUGCAUGGCUGUCGUCAGCUCGUGCCGUGAGGUGUUGGGUUAAGUCCCGCAACGAGCGCAACCCUCGCCGUCAGUUAUAUUUUUCUGACGGGACCGCUGGGAUAAACCCAGAGGAAGGUGGGGAUGACGUCAAGUCAGCAUGGCCCUUACGUCCUGGGCUACACACACGCUACAAUGGCCGGUACAAUGGGCUGCUAAGGCGCAAGCCGGAGCCAAUCCCGCAAAGCCGGCCUCAGUUCAGAUUGCAGGCUGCAACUCGCCUGCAUGAAGGCGGAGUCGCUAGUAACCGCAGGUCAGCACACUGCGGUGAAUACGUUCCCGGGCCUUGUACACACCGCCCGU